AUGAAAAACUUGAGGAAAGUUUAUUCUGGGGGGAUGGCAUGCCCCUUAUAAAGCAAAAUUACAUCAUAUGCAUUGUCAGAGAUAACAUGGAAUAAUACAUCAAUAAUUGGUUAGGUGUUAAGUGGUUCAUUUAGUGCCCUUCCUACCGGGUGUGAUGUCACUGGUAUCUUGGAGGUCACCCCCAGAUUCCAGCGCCAUCUUGUUAAUGAGGGUGUUAGUCGAUGUCAAAGGGAAACUCCCUAGCGGCCAUUUUAGGUAAAUCACGUAUAAGGUUGAAUAAUGCUGAUUGUGGUUAUGCUGAG
Pelobates cultripes (western spadefoot toad) is the source of this 302-nucleotide non-coding RNA. Lineage: Eukaryota; Metazoa; Chordata; Amphibia; Anura; Pelobatidae. The record is from the annotation of a GenBank genome assembly.